GAGUUUGAUCGUGGCUCAGAACGAACGCUGGCGGCGUGCUUAACACAUGCAAGUCGAACGAGAAAGAGCUCUUCGGAGCUUGAGUAAAGUGGCGCACGGGCGAGUAACGCGUAGAUAAACCUGUCCAGGUGUUCGGGGAUAGCCCUCCGAAAGGGGGAUUAAUACCGGAUACGUUAGUUUGUCAUAAGGCAAAUUAAGAAAGGUGGCCUCUAUUUAUAAGCUAUCGGCACUUGGAGGGGUCUGCGUACCAUUAGUUUGUUGGUGGGGUAAUGG
Molecule: ribosomal RNA, 273 nt
Filed under: uncultured microorganism
Description: partial 16S ribosomal RNA
Rfam family: Bacterial small subunit ribosomal RNA
Source: RNAcentral